AGAGUUUGAUUCUGGCUCAGAACGAACGCUGGCAGCGUGGAUUAUGCAUGCAAGUCGAACGAGAGGCCUUGUUAUCAAUCUUCGGAAAGAGAUCGGGGUGGACAGUGGCGGAAGGGUGAGUAACGCGUGGGCAACCUGCCUUGAAGUUGGGGACAACACUUCGAAAGAAAUGCUAAUACCGAAUGUGGUACCUUGUCGCCUGGCAAGGAUACUAAAGCUGGGGAUCUUCGGACCUGGCGCUUCGAGAGGGGCCCGCGUGGCAUCAGCUUGUUGGUGGGGUAAUGGCUCACCAAGGCUGCAACGCCUAGCCGGCCUGAGAGGGUGAUCGGCCACACUGGGACUGAGACACUGCCCAGACUCCUAUGGGAGGCUGCAGUCGAGGAUCAUUCGCAAUGCGCGAAAGCGUGACGAUGCGACGCUGCGUGGAGGAUGACGGCCUUCGGGUUGCAAACUCCUGUCAUGAGGGAAGAACCACACCGUUGUAAAUAGCUUCGGUGUCUGACGGUACCUCAAGAGGAAGCCACGGCUAACCCUGUGCCAGCAGCCGCGGUAAUACAGAGGUGGCGAGCGUUGUUCGGAUUUACUGGGCGUAAAGCGUACGUAGGUGGCUUGUUAAGUUGGAUGUGAAAGCCCAUGGCCCAACCAUGGAAUUGCAUUCAAAACUGGCGGGCUAGAGUGCAGGAGGGGAGAGCGGAAUUCUUGGUGUAGCGGUGAAAUGCGUUGAUAUCAAGAAGAACACCGGUGGCGAAGGCGGCUCUCUGGAAUGUUACUGACGCUGAGGUACGAAAGCUGGGGGAGCAAACAGGAUUAGAUACCCUGGUAGUCCCAGCCGUAAACGGUGUGCACUUGGUGUAGGAGGAUUUGACCCCUUCUGUGCCGGAGCUAACGCGUUAAGUGCACCGCCUGGGGAGUACGGCCGCAAGGUUAAAACUCAAAGAAAUUGACGGGGGCCCGCACAAGCGGAGGAGCAUGUGGCUUAAUUCGAUGCAACGCGAAGAACCUUACCUGGGCUUGACAUAUAACUGCAAGCCUCCUGAAAGGGAGGCCGCCUUCGAGGGUGUUAUACAGGUGCUGCAUGGCUGUCGUCAGUUCGUGCCGUGAGGUGUUGGGUUAAGUCCCGCAACGAACGCAACCCCUGUGGUUAGUUGCCACCGUAGGUGAUGAGCCUACGAGCACUCUAGCCAGACUGCCCGUACAAGCGGGAGGAAGGUGGGGACUACGUCAAGUCAGUAUGGCCCCUUACGUCCAGGGCCGCACACGUGCUACAAUGGUCGGUACAGAGGGACGCAAUACCGCGAGGUGGAGCAAAUCCUGAAAGCCGGCCCCAGUUCGGAUUGGAGUCUGCAACUCGACUCCAUGAAGUUGGAUUCGCUAGUAACGGCGUAUCAGCUACGACGCCGUGAAUACGUUCCCGGGCCUUGUACACACCGCCCGUCACAUCAUGAAAGCCGUCUGCACCCGAAGUCGCUGAGCCAACCCGCAAGGGAGGCAGGUGCCGAAGGUGUGGGUGGUGAUUGGGAUGAAGUCGUAACAAGGUA
RNAcentral lists this ribosomal RNA (1538 nucleotides) under metagenome. RNAcentral describes it as "bacterial SSU rRNA". It matches the Rfam family "Bacterial small subunit ribosomal RNA". The record is from RNAcentral.